Molecule: long non-coding RNA, 299 nt
Filed under: Mytilus galloprovincialis (Mediterranean mussel)
Lineage: Eukaryota; Metazoa; Mollusca; Bivalvia; Mytilida; Mytilidae
Source: RNAcentral
AAAAAAAACACACAUCUGUUUUAGCCGACAAAGCACAGUUCGGUUUAAAUUAAUUAAGUCAUGGACACUUGGUUUCUGGCUGCUUGGUUUAUAAGUUGUAAUAUAUAUUCUAGCUUGUACAUUUUUUAUUUGUAUAAACGACUGUUAACGUCAUAAUCCAACAACGUUUCUUUCGUCUAAACUUUCGCGGACCAUCGCACUUUAGCGUGUGUAAGCAUCGCACUUUAGCGUAUACCGUCGCACUUUAGCGUGACCAUCGUACUUUAGCGUCCCCAUCGCACUUUAGAGUUCUACAUAUA